CUACAAUAGUUUGAAAUAAAUAAAGUUUUGAUUUAAAAAGGAAAAAGGGAUUUGAAAGUUUUGAAAGUUGGUAUGAGAGUGUACUUUUUAGGUGAAAAUUUAAAACAAGAGUUUAGAAGAGAAGGAACCAUAAUAUUUAAGAACAGUAAUAGCUAAUAUUGAUUGAGUUCUUACUAUGUGCCAGACACCAUUGUAAAUGCUUUGUACAUAUUCAUUCAUUUAAUCCUCACACUCAUUUUCUGAGGAGAUACUAUUGUCAUCUCCGUUCUAGAUCAGGAAACGGAGUCACAGACAUGUUAGAUAACAGAAGGUCAGGUGGUACUAAAACCUGAACUUAGGCUAUCUGGCCUCAGAGCCAUGCUCUUCAUCACCAUGCCAGAUUGCUAGGAGACCCCUCUCCCAUCCUGUAGGCAUCAGACUUGGCUGCUUUAAAGCUUUCCCUUGCUUUUUGAAAAUCAAGUAUGACCCCCAAAUCUGUACACAAGCAGAUGCAUUCUGUAAUAAAUGAAAAUACAAAACUCAGCUAUUGAGUCACUUUUAAAUAUGCUUAUUUAGCACAAAAAUUAUAAAAUCUCUAAAAA
RNAcentral lists this long non-coding RNA (581 nucleotides) under Homo sapiens (human). RNAcentral's name for it is "HSALNT0212603". Lineage: Eukaryota; Metazoa; Chordata; Mammalia; Primates; Hominidae. The record is from RNAcentral.